GACGGGUGAGUAACACGUGGGUAACCUACCCAUCAGAGGGGGAUAACACUUGGAAACAGGUGCUAAUACCGCAUAACAGUUUAUGCCGCAUGGCAUAAGAGUGAAAGGCGCUUUCGGGUGUCGCUGAUGGAUGGACCCGCGGUGCAUUAGCUAGUUGGUGAGGUAACGGCUCACCAAGGCCACGAUGCAUAGCCGACCUGAGAGGGUGAUCGGCCACACUGGGACUGAGACACGGCCCAGACUCCUACGGGAGGCAGCAGUAGGGAAUCUUCGGCAAUGGACGAAAGUCUGACCGAGCAACGCCGCGUGAGUGAAGAAGGUUUUCGGAUCGUAAAACUCUGUUGUUAGAGAAGAACAAGGACGUUAGUAACUGAACGUCCCCUGACGGUAUCUAACCAGAAAGCCACGGCUAACUACGUGCCAGCAGCCGCGGUAAUACGUAGGUGGCAAGCGUUGUCCGGAUUUAUUGGGCGUAAAGCGAGCGCAGGCGGUUUCUUAAGUCUGAUGUGAAAGCCCCCGGCUCAACCGGGGAGGGUCAUUGGAAACUGGGAGACUUGAGUGCAGAAGAGGAGAGUGGAAUUCCAUGUGUAGCGUGAAAUGCGUAGAUAUAUGGAGGAACACCAGUGGCGAAGGCGGCUCUCUGGUCUGUAACUGACGCUGAGGCUCGAAGCGUGGGGAGCAAACA
RNAcentral lists this ribosomal RNA (685 nucleotides) under Enterococcus faecalis. RNAcentral's name for it is "bacterial SSU rRNA". It matches the Rfam family "Bacterial small subunit ribosomal RNA", at positions 100 to 774 of the family's 1533-position model. Lineage: Bacteria; Bacillati; Bacillota; Bacilli; Lactobacillales; Enterococcaceae. The record is from RNAcentral.